Long non-coding RNA from Oreochromis niloticus (Nile tilapia), 4385 nucleotides. RefSeq lists it as uncharacterized. Lineage: Eukaryota; Metazoa; Chordata; Actinopteri; Cichliformes; Cichlidae. The record is from RefSeq and is a predicted model, not a curated record. The transcript is spliced from 2 exons.
UCUCUCCAUCACCUCAUUUAGACCAAAAAAAAAAAAUCUCCAGAGUGAUAUUUAUGGGACAUAAAUAAGAAGUAGACAAAUCUAAUUUAUUUCAGGGUCACUUCCAUCAGCUCCCAGAGCCAGUGCAAUCAAUGUCACUGAGAUCUCUGCUCCCCUUAAAGUAAAAAGAGAAUAAGUAAAAACAAAAAUCUCCAUAACUGCCAUCAUAAGCUUCAGAAGAUCUACGUGGCUGUAUCAUAAAGGCCUAAUUUAGACUGUUUUUCUAAGCGAGAGCUGCAUGAACAAACCCACCGACUGCCACAUGACCUCCGCAAAGAACUAAAACACAGGGUGUUUUCCCUCAGCGCAGCCAUAAUGAUACAUUGCUAUUUAUGUUCCGGCAGCUGGUGGGUGGCUGUGCUGAAAAGUCACUCAGUCUGCCUCCUUUAUUUGCCCCCCGAAUCUUGUAAGGCACCGCGAGGUUCAGUUUUAUGUGAAUGCCUCUGUUAGUUAGGAUGUAAAUUCCUUUUUACAAGCUGAGUGAUGGCAUAAACAGUUUUUUGAGCUGCGAAUAUAAAAAUCUUGAUCAUGUAAAUAAAUUCUGCAUGUAGGCUCGUGCGCCUAAUGCCGCUCUUUUCUGCGUGUUUAAUGAUCAGCCUAGCAGUGGGACUAUCGGCUGCUGAACUUAAUGGGAAGGGCAGAGUUGAAAGGAGAGCUGUAAUGAUUAGGGGAAUAACGUAUAAUUCAUUUCCAUCAUUCAGUCUACUUACACAGCUGGUUCCAGUUUGUGAGAAUUUGCUGCUUUGUCAUAUAAUAUUUAAGAUUUCCAUUUAAGAUGCCACCUCUGAGUGUGAAAAGUGUGACGGGUGUCUUUAUUUUGUUCUCCGUACAAGCUACAGGCAAUAAUUGAGGCUCCGCAGGUGUACUUUGUGACGGGAAUAUCAAUAUUCACCCCCCGGUUUAUCACUUAAACAUGAAAGAUUUAAGAGCUUUGGUGUUUUCUGUAUCUACAAGAUAAAUAUUUGCAGGCACUUCCUGUCUUUAUUUAUUAAAGAUCAAUGUCCACACAUGAUGGGUCACCGUGUUGUUCUCCUCAGUCGAUCUUUGUACUCCGCUGCCAAGGGCACAGCUCGGUGUAACGCACGCAGCACAGAACAGUUGGAACGCUGGGCACAUGAUGAGAAGUUAGAUAUGCUUUCUUUAGGCAUUAAAUACCGCACGCAAUCAAAGAUUUCUUCAAGACAGGCGAAAGAGCUCGCAGUACUGCAAAAGUCUGAGAACCAUCGCUUGAUUUUCGGCCGCUUCGCCUCCCUCCCGUCGCUGCAACGCUCUUUCGACACAUCCAGUGUAAGUAUUUACAUUUUUGUGAUUCCUUUCCUACAAAAGCGCAGCAGAAAUGUGGCACUUCUCCACAGAUAAUUAAUUGUGAAAUAAAGUGGUUGUAGGAUGAGAUGUGUGAAGAAUCUCCAGGUGUAAGGAUAUUCUUUAAGUGGCUCAUAACAGUGAAUAUCAAAGAAUACGAGGCCUGCGUGGGGAAAUAAAAUCUUCCUAAAGUUAUUCUCCCAUUCUACGGUGCAAUAUAGAGGGCUGAAAAGAUGUGGUUCUAUCAUAUUCUGUGGUCUCAGACUCAUGUAGAGAAUGUCAAUUGUUUUCUAUGUGAGAAGAGGUAAUGCCCCUGAGAGGAAGAAAACAGAACAAACAGGCAUCUUUAAAUAUAUUAAACUCUUUAAAAAACAAUUUAUUUAACACAUGUUAAUACAUCCAUAUCAUAUACAAUACAAUAACAGCCUUAUUUUUGAGAACUAGCAGGAAUCGAUACAUCCAGAUAAACCGCCUAAUAGAGUCAAUCAAAGUGUACAUCAUGUUUGCCAACAAUUCAAAAAUACAAAUCACCAGCCACUUUAUUGGGUAUACCUGUUCAACUGCUCUUCAGUGCAAAUGUCUAAUCAGCCGCUCACAUGGAGGCAACAGCAGGCAACAGUAACUCAAAUAGCCCCUUGUUACAACCAAGGUGUGCAGAAGAGCAUUUCUGAAUGAACAACAAGGUGAAUCUUUAAGCAGACAGGCCACAGCAACAGAAGACCACAAUGGGCAUCACUCCUUCCAGCUAAAACUGGAAACAGAGUCCACAAUUUGCACUGGCUCACCAAAAUUUUAAAACACUUCCUGGUAUGAUUAUUCUUGGUUCUGCUACACAACAGCAAUUUGGCAUAGAUAACAUGAAAGCGUGGAUCCAUCCGGUCUUAUUUCAACAAUUUAUGCUGGUACAAUGAUGUGAUGGUCUGGGGGUUGUUUUCUUGGGCCACUUUGGGCCCCUUUGCAAGAACUAAGCAUUGUUUAAAUGCCACAACCUGCUUGCUAACCGUGUCCAUCCCUUUAUGACCCCAACUUUUGAUGGCUGCUUCCAACAGGUCCCAAAGCUCACAUCAUCUCAAACUGGUUUCUUGAACAUGACAGCGAGUUCAGUGUACUCAAAUGGCCUCCACAGUCACCAGAUCUCAAUUCAACAGAGCACCAGAAUGUUUUCAACACCUUGUUGUAUCUAUGCCACAAGGCAAAAGGUGGCAGCCCUAACAAGUAUACCCAAUAAAGUGGCCAGUGAGUGUAUAUUCAGUUUAACUUUAAGCAAAAGAAAAGUGUCAAAUUCCAACUUAUGAGAAGAGGCAACGUUUGGCAUUUUUGCUUAAGAAUAAAGCUCAGUUACCUCAUCUAAUAUUUGCAACAUUUCUCCAGAAAUGAAAAGCUUUGGCCAGUAAUUUCCUCAUACCAUGCACAAACUGAAAGCCAGAUAAGCCUCUGUCAAACAUUAUCAAAGUACAUUAAACAGCUUGUCUAGGUUCAGUAUUGAUUUCCAGCAGUUCUCAGAGUAAACCUUAUCUGUGCCUCUGAACACUGGCUUGCGUGCACUGUUCAGUUGUGUUCAACUUGACGGGGCCGAGCUGUUAGAGAAGACAAAAACAAUGCUUAGGCUGCUGAAGCGGGAAAAAGUUUCCUCUUUUUCAUCUGCAAAUUAACCACUGACAAGAUCCAAAUGGGUAACCUUAAUUAACUGAAGCUGCUGUGCACUAAAGGCUGAACCACCUGGCUGUCAAACAGGGAACAUGGCGAGAAACAGACUACUCUGAGCGCAAGUUUGUGCCAAAACGUGUCUUUUUCAAUACAAUAUUCUAAUUGAUAUCGUCUGAAUGGACUGCUAAGCACUGACUGUACACACCUGGCCUCAAGGGCAUCAUCUUCAUCUCAUUUUAAUUGCAUUUGCAAUGAGGAAAGAAAUAAACCAGCUUUAACAAAUUAAAUCUGGAUGAUUUUGAUCAUUUACUUAAAAGUGUGGAAAUAUUAUCAGCAAACUGUAUCUUUUGUGUCAAAAGUAAAAACGCACUUGUGUUAUAUUAUUAUUUAUUGGAAAAUUAUCAAAGAUGCAUUAUGCAAAGCGAUUGUGGAGGAAGAUGAUAUAAAUUCACCAUGUGGGAGUCACGAUUAUGUACUUCCCCAUAGAGCUGCGCAGUGUCCAUUUUCUUUAUUGUGUUUUUCCCAUGUAAAAUUGAUUUUUGGUUUUCCCUCAUAAUUUCCAUAUAAUGGAAAUGGGAAGCUCUGCUUGGAAUUUUUUUUCCUGAUGUACAGUACUAAUCUUGUUUCCAGAGUGGCAAUAAUGAUGGUAGAAAUGCUCUGUAAAUGACACAGUAUUACACAUAAAUAACAAAACGGAUUUUAUUCACUUUUAUUAACUUUGUACAUUAUAAUAAAUAGUGAAUUUUGUGUUAUUACUACUCACUUCCUGUCUCAUCCAGAUUGAUCAACCACUGGAACACUUUUAGAGGAAGAAUGAGAGAAAAUAUGAAAAUAAUAUUACUUGACGAAUGCUCAGCAGAGCUUACAUUUGCUUUAAUGUCCUGAAUAGUACAUCAAUUACACGUACAGGCUACACCAGCUCCAACAACCAGCUUUAUUUUACCUUGUAAGCUACAGUCCAAGUCGCUUACUUUUUACUAUAGCUGUGAAUACUCAAUAAUAAUUAAGUGGAAAAGCUUGAAAAAGACAUAAAAAUAUACAACAUUGAAAUAAGUGGGUAAAAAAGAGAACUGAAAAGCUUUUAUGUUAUGGAGCAUAAUGAUUACACAUUUUAUUAAUGUAAUAAUGAUAUUCAGUUCCCAGUUUUAGUUCAGUUCCUCAAACCAUUUCCAAACUUUCUAGCAGCCCAGUAAAAUGUCCUACUUAUUAACAUAUGGCGUUUCUGAGGAAGAAAAAAGAAGGGCAGCCAGGCACUGUAAUUUUAAACGGCCUCUGUCGUCAUAGGGUCUCAUCACACACUCACAAAAGCUGCUUGAAGAAUUCCUAAGAUAUCAUUUAAGUUUUUAAAGGUCAUACAGUUUGAUAAUUCACGCUCCACAACCUGGUGACAGAUGUGA